GUGUUUGAAGAAAGUUCCAAAUAAGGAAAAUGGUGUUGUUAGUGCUGAGCCAUUUCUAGCGACAAGGAGUACAGGGCUUCCUCCUAAAUGGGAUAGUCCGGGUGGGACAGUUGUAUUAGUAAACAAACCAAAAGGUUGGACUUCUUUUACUGUUUGUGGAAAGUUGCGUCGCUUAACAAAAGUGAAAAAGGUUGGCCAUGCUGGAACACUUGAUCCUAU
This 219-nucleotide unclassified non-coding RNA is filed under the name Hevea brasiliensis (rubber tree). Lineage: Eukaryota; Viridiplantae; Streptophyta; Magnoliopsida; Malpighiales; Euphorbiaceae. The record is from RNAcentral.